CUUAAGCAUAUCAAUAAGCGGAGGAAAAGAAACCAACAGGGAUUGCCCUAGUAACGGCGAGUGAAGCGGCAACAGCUCAAAUUUGAAAUCUGGCGCAAGCCCGAGUUGUAAUUUGUAGAGGAUGCUUCUAGGUAGCGACCGGUCUAAGUUCCUUGGAACAGGACGUCAUAGAGGGUGAGAAUCCCGUAUGUGACCGGCCCGCACCUUCUACGUAGCUCCUUCGACGAGUCGAGUUGUUUGGGAAUGCAGCUCUAAAUGGGAGGUAAAUUUCUUCUAAAGCUAAAUACCGGCCAGAGACCGAUAGCGCACAAGUAGAGUGAUCGAAAGAUGAAAAGCACUUUGGAAAGAGAGUUAAAAAGCACGUGAAAUUGUUGAAAGGGAAGCGCUUACAACCAGACUUCUGGGCGGUGUUCCGCCGGUCUUUUGACCGGUCUACUCGCCGUCCCGAGGCCAACAUCAUCUGGGACCGCUGGAUAAGACCUCAGGAAUGUAGCUCCCCUCGGGGAGUGUUAUAGCCUGUGGUGAUGCAGCGCGUCUCGGGUGAGGUCCGCGCUUCGGCAAGGAUGUUGGCGUAAUGGUUGUCAGCGGCCCGUCUUGAAACACGGACCAAGGAGUCUAACAUCUAUGCGAGUGUUCGGGUGUCAAACCCCUACGCGUAAUGAAAGUGAACGGAGGUGGGAAGGGCAACCUGCACCAUCGACCGAUCCUGAUGUCCUCGGAUGGAUUUGAGUAAGAGCAUAGCUGUUGGGACCCGAAAGAUGGUGAACUAUGCCUGAAUAGGGUGAAGCCAGAGGAAACUCUGGUGGAGGCUCGCAGCGGUUCUGACGUGCAAAUCGAUCGUCAAAUUUGGGUAUAGGGGCGAAAGACUAAUCGAACCAU
This 879-nucleotide ribosomal RNA is filed under the name Ramularia coleosporii. RNAcentral describes it as "eukaryotic LSU rRNA". It matches the Rfam family "Eukaryotic large subunit ribosomal RNA", at positions 33 to 943 of the family's 3401-position model. The record is from RNAcentral. Lineage: Eukaryota; Fungi; Ascomycota; Dothideomycetes; Mycosphaerellales; Mycosphaerellaceae.